Helianthus annuus (common sunflower) is the source of this 387-nucleotide long non-coding RNA. RefSeq lists it as uncharacterized. The record is from RefSeq and is a predicted model, not a curated record. The transcript has 2 exons. NCBI's taxonomy places the organism in Eukaryota, Viridiplantae, Streptophyta, Magnoliopsida, Asterales, Asteraceae.
CAGACAUGUAUAAGAAUAAAUCGAGACCAUCGGGACUUUUCUUGAUAUGGAGGUCUGAAAUCAUGCAAAUCCAACAUUAAAGGGAAGUACCGUUUGGAGCAAGACCAUCAUAAUCACCGAAAGAAUUGUUGCAAAAGAAACGUGAAGCCGGACGGAAUCUGGUAAGCAUGUUAGAAGAAAGGAGCUUUGAUCUGAUGAAGAGGUUUGUGGAAGCCAUCUUUUGAUCAAAAUAAACCUGUGCAUGUACUCUUAUACAAGAAUAUAUUAGGGUUGUGUUUCUAAUAUAAUUAUCUUAACCAAAUUGGAUAACUACAAAACCAAACCGAUUUAAAUUCGUUAUUUAUUUAUCUUUAUCUUAAUCUUUGAAACAAGCAUUUCAAAUUUUAA